GAGACCGCGGCGGUACUGGGAGGGGUAGGUGAGGGUCGCGAGGCUGCCUGAGCUUCUGAGUGAGCAUGGCGCUUUUCGAACGCGGGACUGGCGACCUGCUGCUCUAGGAGUGGGGCCGAGGCGGGGCGGCGCGGCUACCGGCUGCUCUCUGGAUGGGAAGUUACCGCGAAGUCCACCCAGCCUUUCCGAGGCAAUCUGAAGGCAAAUCCUGUUUCGACCCAGGCGAAAGUUCCUGGUGAUCCAGGCUCUCACCAGCCGAUUGUCCCUUCCUGUCUUCCUGAGGGUGUCUGGAGCUUCAGUGUUGUGUGCUCUUGGCCUCCACGCUGGGGUGCCACCGACUCCCACUGUCCAGGGCUUCUGGUGGACUCUCCGAGGCACUGAUGCAGAAACAUCCCCAUUCGGUGCACCAAGAGCAGCCUCACACGGUGUGGGCUGACAUGAAGAGCUGCCGGAUCCAACAGAAAUGUGAUUGAUAACAGUAAAGCCGCACUCCUUAUGUGCCUGAAAUAUCCCUCAUUGUCUUCUUCAGGUGGCAAGGGCUCUGGAACAGCCACAUAAAGGACAGUCCUCUCACCAGUCUCAACCAGCCAAUGGAUUGACAAACCUCCAGAUAUGAGUCAGUGGAGAAGGCGCUCCCUUGUCAACAAAUUUUGUAGAAACAACUGGACAUGCAUAUCCCCAAAGGAAAAAAAUUCACCUGAACCUCAAUACUCACUCAAAAACUAACUCAAAAUGGAUUAUGCAACUAAAUAUAAACUAUAAUACUAGAAAAGCAUAGCAGAAGUAGGAGGAUAGGAGAGAGCAAGUCCACCUAGGAUGAUGACCGCUGAAUUUCUCAACGGACACUUCAAAGCCCUAGAGGUUAGAGAGUCAAAACUCCCACCUGUAACCCUGGCCCUAAACACCUGGGCUAGGGAACACUGUGGCCCUCAGGAGAUUGUCUUUAGCUGGGUCUGAGAGCCACACAACUGCAGAGGGAGCAGGAGACACUAUGCAAAUCGAGGCCAGAACAGCAGGGCGGGCCUGUUCAUGACAGAACACAGGUAAAACUACCCUCAGAAAGAGCGUGUGGAGAAACAGAUCAUGCCUGAGACCUGGUGGAUUAGAGCACUGGCUACUGGGGAAUUGAAAGGAAGGGGCUUCACCGUGCAGAGGACCAGAGGUGCCAAUCUUGGAAACGCAGAAUUGCUGGGAGAUGGGGAGGCAGGAACAGAGGAAGCAUCCUCUGGAGACUCGUGGUGAAGAGAACACAUGAACGAAGUAACUGGCAGAAAUUAGAGGUCCUGGUAGAACAAAAUUGAAUCCCACAAUGAGAACAUACACCGUGUAUGUCCCCCAGGGAAGACAGUAUCUCCUAAAAACUCAAGAAAAAUCAUUUUGGGCGAGUACCUUAUAUCCAGUCAUGCGAUCCAUGCAAGACCAUGAGAAAAGAUUAUUAAACAUGCUAAGCUCAGCGAGACCUGAUUCCCUCAGGAGGACUCUGUUAAGGAUGAGUACCACUCAGCAAGUGAUGACUGUGACAUUCACUUUUGAAUAGCUCAUGAGCAUUAAUAUAUUUAAUUGUGGAUCUAACCAAAAACCAAGGUGGGGCCAAGAUGACAAUCACAGAAUGUCACUGGUGUAUGUUUAGGUUCAAAUACUAUUAUGAGAAGUGGCAGGCCGGGCGCGGUGGCUCACACCUGUAAUCCCAGCACUUUGGGUGGCUGAGGCGGGCUGAUUACAAGGUCAGGAGAUCGAGACCAUCCUGGCUAACACGGUGAAACCCUGUCUCUACUAAAAAAUACAAAGAAAAAAAAAAA
This 1799-nucleotide long non-coding RNA is filed under the name Macaca mulatta (Rhesus monkey). Its description in RNAcentral is "lncRNA (ENSMMUG00000056776.1)". Lineage: Eukaryota; Metazoa; Chordata; Mammalia; Primates; Cercopithecidae. The record is from RNAcentral.